UUUCAGAAUUACUCUACUUCCUUGUGGUCUUUUGGGCUGGCGAUUUGCACUCUACUAGCCGUUUUUCUUUCAGCCAGCAAAAAGAAGCGAGAAAUUCUACAGUGUGAGUCAAGUAGCUUUUUGUGAAGUCAGAGGAGUAUUAUCCUGGGAGGACUGCCAAGACAGGACAACCUGGUCAGACAUAGAUGUCUAUACUGCAGCUUUCUCAGACUCCAAGAGAUGAAUCACAGCUGCAGGGUCCUCACUCAGAAGUGAAUUCACUCCAUAUUGCUAAAAUGAGCUCAACAGAACCAGGCUUGACAUUCCUAUUCGGCAUGCCCUCUAGCAGCAAAAUCCUUUCUCUGCUGUUUGACAUUCACCUUUUUUUGAUGUCAAGGGCUGAGACAGCCCUUCAUACUUCUCAGUCUGACGCACACACCAUCCCUUGAUUCUGCAUUCCCAACUUGCAGAUUUCUUUACUUAGAGUCCAAUUCUUCUGUGGUAGUCUUUCCUAUGAGCAGGUUUGUAUUUUCCGGAUUUCAUUGUGGCUAGAAGCCAUGUCCCUCCAUUCUGAAGGAUCCCAGGAUCCUUCAUAAUUGUCUGGAUUUACCAUAUAACACUGAAGUCUUCAUCUGAACUUUCCCUCAAGCUACUUUUAAUUGUCAUCUGUAAGUAAUGUGCAGUUUUAGGCCUUAGUUCUAAAAGUUUACAUAAAAUUGACCAAGUUAACUCAUCUUCCCAUGCAGGAUAUUGCCACUGAAAUGCUAGAUGUAGUCACAUUUGCAUCUAAAAAUGGCCAGUAUCUGAGAAAGCAUGUUUCGAAACAACAUCCACAGUCAGUUGGCAGAAAAUUAAGUGAUGAUUCAAGAUAUAAGAAAACAUCUUUUUUUUUCUUUUUUUUAAAUUUAAUUACUAAACUUAAUAAAUUUUUGUUUUGGUAGACUAAUGGCUGUAGUUCAGAGCUCUAUUAGCUCAGUCCUUGAUUCUUUCUGGAGUAUACCUAUAGACUGCAUCACUUGAAUAUCAUCUGAAUAGAUGGCAGUGACCUUAGUUAUUCUGUGUAUAAGCAGCCUGCUUCCUGAACAUCAGUUUGUGAGAAAGUGAUGAAGUGUUUGAACGAUCAGCUGUAAAACGUGGUGUAUCUUGUCUCUGGUCAGUUUUGAACUCGUUGUUGAAGAACUGAGUGCACCAAGUCUCAGUGUUGAAAUUCUCCUCUGCUAAAUUCAGGCUGCUAAUAAGCUACAAUGAAAAACACUGGGAAAUCAAGAUCCUUAAUGUUCCUACAUGCCAGGAUAAAGGAGAAGAUGCUGAUAUAAGAAUAUGGGCUUGGGCUGUUUGAAGACAUGUGAUGAGUCAGAAUCUGUACUUCUGCUAUUCUACAAGAACUGCUGCUGAAUGCCAAGUCUUGCCAACUGUGAAAUUACUAUUUCUGCUUCAUAAUGUUUUCCAUCAAAACAGAAUGUAGAGAAAAGGUAAUAACUGAAUUUUUAGAACAAAUCAGACUGCUUGUCAGGACUUUUUCCUUUGAUCUCCAGCCGACAGUCACAGUUUAAAAAACUUCAGACUCGAUAUCCUCUCAACUGGCAUGAAUGUUUUUAUUUUUCUCCAAUUCACAUGAUAAUUUGAUUGAAUUUGUUGUGCUACUCUUUUGACAAAAAUGGGAGUAUUCUUUUAAAAAUGUGCUUGCACUGUUAAGUCUUUUAAUUGCUAGAAGUAAUAGCUACUUCCAACAGUCUUAAAAGUAAAUUUAAGGUUUGAGUUUUUUAGAGUAUGAGAUUUUCAUAGUAAGGUUUUGGUAAUGGUGGGCUGCAGGCCCCACCAGCUGUCCCAUGUCAGAUCAGAGACAGCUCCAACUGCUCCAAAGGGACCCACUGCUGCCAGAGCUGAGCCAUGAGUAAUGCUGGGUGUGUUCUGGGGGAGCAGAUUUUAAACAGCAAGAAAGCGACCAUGGCUAACAUGCAAUGUAUAAAGUAGAUUUCUGACACUUAGACCUGUCUAGGAUCCUUACUGAGCAAAGUACUUGGGCUCUGUUAUCCAGUGUGUGACCAGUAUCACUGGGUUUAACAAGCCUGUUUAACUGCCUAAGUACUCUGACUGAGGUGGAGUAUGGGGCAUUAAUUCGUUUUUGUAGUGUUUCACACAAAUGACCUGAUACAUGCAUUUACCCACUGCUUUCUGAAAACCAACAAUCCAGUGAAGAACUGGAGAUAUAGGAGUCUGUUUCCUAUUUUGAGAAUGUUGUCCUCAGAGUUUGAAAUGCAACCAACACUGCAUGACAAAGGGACUGCUUCACCCCUCUGGUGCAGAUUCCACUCCAUGAGAAUAAAUCAUAGUGGAAGUAAUCUAAAACCCAAAUUUCCAGAGAUCUGCGUAGUGCACCUAGUAUCUCUGAGUCUACCGAUGAGCAAUGUAUCAUUACCAAUAGAUUUCUGCAGUGAGGAGAUCUCAUUGCACUUUAAAAAUAGGAAGGUAAAUCAUAUACAGAUACUUAAAGGAAAGAGCGUUAAGCUAGCAAAUAUGAAUACUGAGCAACUAAUGUAGGCCACAGUAAAGCUUUCUUUAUAAGCCUAAUUCAUCCUGCUGUUCCUGUGCAUUGUCUUUUCCUCAGGUUUUCUACUCAUACAAUAUAAAACGUGGAUCUGAGUUAGUUAUGUUAAAAAACUGAUUGUCUGUAGAGCUUGUCAAAACCAAAAAAUAUAUAGUAAUUAAGGCGAAGGAGUGUAAGAAGAGAUGUGGCACCACUGAUGUGAAAGUGGUUGUAUGCUGUCAUGGAGAUAUGGACUCCUAGAGAAUAUGCCAAAGAGAUCAUCUACAGUGGCAGGAAAAUUGCUUCAACCAAGAUUUUCACAUUUGUCAUCUGCUUGAUCUCUCUACAUUUCUUAUUCCCAGAUCUGAGGUGAUUAUGAUCCACGAAUUCCAAAAGCUUUGGCACAAACAGCACCAUCUGAGUUUGCUAGAACAUGUUCUUAUAGGAACCUGUCAGAGUCUACAUAAUUGUAAAAAUAAUUAAAUAUCAGAUCACUGGAAAUGCAAAGACUUCCAGAUUACAAUCCCAAUUUCCAUUUAUAAUCUCCGGGUGUUUAAUUUUAUCUUCUGAGAUAUAUGAAAUUUCAUAUUUGAAAAGACUUUGCACUCAGUAGGAGAUCAUGUGACAUACAUUCAUAGACAUUAUAUUUGUCAUUCCUCAUCGUCAGCUUACGUACUGUGCAAUGUAGGGGUGAGAAUGAAAACCCAGGUUAGAAUAACAGCAGAUAUUGGCAUAAGUAGUAUUUCACCUUUUGGCCGCCUGUUGCAACACAACCUAAGCCAACAGUGACUGAAAAUCAUUAUCAUUUGACAGCUGCUUCAUGAGCUUUUUAAAAUGACUACAUAAUUGUUUUCAGCCUCUUUCCUAGUGGACAGGUGUCCAUACCAUGAUUAGUGUUAAUUGGCAAUGUUGUUGGCCGUCACAAGAGGAAAAAAUGAAAGAAUGAUGUGGACUGGAAUGAUUUUUGCAGGCACAAGAGCAAUAUGCCUGUCUGUGUGCACUGCCUGGGGACAGAAAGUCAGCUCUGUGCCCCUCCGAACAUAUUGUUUACAUGAAUUCUCAUUCUCCUAUGAGAAAAAAAAAGCAAAGAUGGGUUUAAAAUGGAAUUGAGGCUAACAGUGGAAGAAAAAUAUGGCUUAGAAAAUUUGACAUGUGUCUUGAUCAACAUUUGUUUGAUUUUGUUUGAUUUGUUCGAUUUGUUUGAUUUUAACCUGGUAAGAAAGCAAAGUUUGGUUUGACAAAGAGGGACAAAUAUGGCGAAAGAGUUUUAAAAAUGUAACACCUGAAACAGAACUGAGGAGUCCUUUCACUAAAGAAUAACAGCUAAUUGGAAUGUCAUAUAGUCUCUGUUUCUUUAAGGUUGUUGUCAUCUUUGUAACAUGAUGACUGUGUGUCUUAUAACCAAAGUGCUUUUGACCAUUAAAUGUGGCUUUGUAUCUACAUAUCUGUUGAAGUAACAUAGAACUGUCAGUAGUUAUGAGACCAGAGUUUGCUUCAUGCCUGCCAGGUUGAACACUUGGACACCUACGAAAUGAUUAGGGAAGCCCGUAAGUGGCAGAUGCAAUAAAUUCUUCACUCAUUUGAAUUAGCAAAUCUCUAAUUCUCUCAUUAUGACAUAACUGAAUUUUGAUGAAUGUGGGUAAUUUAUGUAUGGGCUUAACAGGAGAGUGUCACAGUGACCAGUGCAUGAUAAGCUAUUUAGGAAGUUAUAUCUCUCUGACCAAAAAUCUGGAUUUUGAUGUCAUAUUCUAUCCUAGUCAUUAUUCCUUCUCCAUACAUCUUAAUAUUUUUACUGUAAGUUACAGAUGCCAAAGUGAGACCACUAGGAACCUAUUUGCUCUGUAAACCUACAAGAAAUCAGCUUUUCUGUAAACAUUCAUGAUGUGGUCUUUUCCUGACGCAGAAUGUGAUAGGUUUAGGCUCAUGAAUGUUAGUUGCAGAACCAAAUGUCAUGGAAGUUUGUCCAGAGUUUUCCGUGCUUCUGCAAAACAAAACACCAGAAAACGCAAACUUCCAAGCUACUGAUGAUCACAAAAGCGCAGCUAACACUGAAUGAGGGUACUGUUACGUAUAACUCUUGGCUCUUACAGCAGGACAAAGUGCUUAUACCUUAGAAAAACGUGGGAAAAGUAAAAAGAAAAUAAGAGGGUUAAUUCCUAGGAAGUGAUGGUGGAUGGCUGACAGAAAUUUAAUUAUGUGUGAGAGGGAAUGAUACUGUUGUGCUAUCAUGUGGGAAAAAGAGAGGGGGCAUGAAUUGAUUCUUGUGUGUCAUUGCCUUUUCCUGAACGACUUACCAGCAUGGAGCCGACUGCAUCCUGGAUAAUG
Molecule: long non-coding RNA, 4831 nt
Organism: Lagopus muta (rock ptarmigan)
Lineage: Eukaryota; Metazoa; Chordata; Aves; Galliformes; Phasianidae
Exons: 5
Source: RefSeq, a predicted model, not a curated record